Molecule: ribosomal RNA, 253 nt
Filed under: uncultured bacterium
Lineage: Bacteria
Description: partial 16S ribosomal RNA
Rfam family: Bacterial small subunit ribosomal RNA
Source: RNAcentral
UACGGAGGGUGCAAGCGUUAUCCGGAUUCACUGGGUUUAAAGGGAGCGUAGGUGGGCUGGUAAGUCAGUGGUGAAAUCUCCGGGCUUAACUCGGAAACUGCCGUUGAUACUAUCAGUCUUGAAUAUUGUGGAGGUAAGCGGAAUAUGUCAUGUAGCGGUGAAAUGCUUAGAUAUGACAUAGAACACCGAUAGCGAAGGCAGCUUGCUACACAAUAAUUGACACUGAGGCACGAAAGCGUGGGGAUCAAACAGG